CAGACACAAACAGAAACAGAUAUUGACUCUGCCUUUGGAGGCCCAUCUCAAGAUUGUGGUAGGAAAGACAAAGAGCGGAGCAGGAGGGAAGAGCAUGAACAACAUGG
Long non-coding RNA from Sinocyclocheilus rhinocerous, 107 nucleotides. RefSeq lists it as uncharacterized. The record is from RefSeq and is a predicted model, not a curated record. The transcript is spliced from 3 exons. Lineage: Eukaryota; Metazoa; Chordata; Actinopteri; Cypriniformes; Cyprinidae.